AGAGUUUGAUUCUGGCUCAGAACGAACGCUGGCAGCGUGGAUUAGGCAUGCAAGUCGAACGAGAAGCCCUGGUCUCAAUCUUCGGAGAGAAACCAGGGUGGACAGUGGCGGAAGGGUGAGUAACGCGUGGGCAAUUUGCCUCCGGAUUGGGGACAACUCCGCGAAAGCGGGGCUAAUACCGAAUAUGGUCUCCUGUCGCAUGACGGGAAGAUUAAAGAUGGGGAUUCUUCGGAACCUGUCGUCUGGAGAGGAGCCCGCGUACGAUCAGCUUGUUGGUGAGGUAACGGCUCACCAAGGCUUUGACCGUUAGCCGGCCUGAGAGGGUGAUCGGCCACACUGGGACUGAGACACUGCCCAGACUCCUACGGGAGGCUGCAGUCGAGGAUCAUUCGCAAUGCGCGAAAGCGUGACGAUGCGACGCUGCGUGUAGGAUGACGGCCUUCGGGUUGUAAACUACUGUCAUGAGGGAAAAACCAGCGAUGGGACAAUACCCCAUCGCUCUGAUGGUACCUCAAGAGGAAGCCACGGCUAACUCUGUGCCAGCAGCCGCGGUAAUACAGAGGUGGCUAGCGUUGUUCGGAUUUACUGGGCGUAAAGCGUGCGUAGGCGGUUCCGUGUGUCGGGCGUGAAAUCCCACGGCUUACCCGUGGAAUGGCACCCGAAACUGCGGGGCUAGAGUGCAGGAGGGGAGAGCGGAAUUCUUAGUGUAGCGGUGAAAUGCGUUGAUAUUAAGAAGAACACCGGCGGCGAAGGCGGCUCUCUGGAAUGUAACUGACGCUGAGGCACGAAAGUUGGGGGAGCAAACAGGAUUAGAUACCCUGGUAGUCCCAACCGUAAACGGUGUGAACUUGGUGUAGGGGGUAUUGACCCCCCCUGUGCCGGAGCUAACGCGUUAAGUUCACCGCCUGGGGAGUACGGCCGCAAGGCUAAAACUCAAAGAAAUUGACGGGGGCCCGCACAAGCGGAGGAGCAUGUGGCUUAAUUCGAUGCAACGCGAAGAACCUUACCUGGGCUUGACAUGGGGACCCUUCGGGGGUGGUAGCGAAAGUUACCUUUACCAUCACAGGUGCUGCAUGGCUGUCGUCAGUUCGUGCCGUGAGGUGUUUGUUAAGUCCAGCGACGAACGCAACCCUUGUGACUAGUUACCAGCGUCGGUGAUGAGCCGGCAGGCACUCUAGUCAGACUGCCCGUACAAGCGGGAGGAAGGUGGGGAUGACGUCAAGUCAGUAUGGCCCUUACGCCCAGGGCUGCACACGUGCUACAAUGGUCAGUACAGAAGGAUGCAAAACCGCAAGGUCGAGCAAAUCCCCAAAGCUGGCCCCAGUUCGGAUUGGAGUCUGCAACUCGACUCCAUGAAGUCGGAUUCGCUAGUAACGGCGUAUCAGCUACGACGCCGUGAAUACGUUCCCGGGCCUUGUACACACCGCCCGUCACAUCAUGAAAGCCGUCUGCACCCGAAGUCGCUGAGCCAACCCGCAAGGGAGGCAAGUGCCGAAGGUGUGGGUGGUGAUUGGGAUGAAGUCGUAACAAGGUA
This 1534-nucleotide ribosomal RNA is filed under the name metagenome. RNAcentral describes it as "bacterial SSU rRNA". It matches the Rfam family "Bacterial small subunit ribosomal RNA". The record is from RNAcentral.